GCUUUGGCUUUAGCUUGCCGUUUUGUGAUUGUGCUGCUCUUCUAUCCUAUGCCACACUUGAGUAGGUGUUGCACUUCCAUCCACACGAUUUCACCAUAAUAUUUUUUCAGAUCAGAAGUUUAAUUAAUAACUCCAGAGAUUUCAGGGUUCUCUUCUCUUAAUCAGGAUGAAACCUGAAAUCAAUAAUACAUUUAUACCCAUUGUUUAGAAACCUUUUGUGGGAUGAUGAAUAAUUUGGUAACAUGAAAGGUAAAGAAACAAAGUUAGUAGUAAAUAGUAGAAGAGAGAAAAGGAAAGGAAUUAAGGAAGAUCUUCAUCUUUUAUUUCACCAGCAAUAACCACAGAAAUCAAGGAUCCUUGAGAAAAAAGAGGGAGGAAGAAGCAAAUGAGUAGGAUCCUUGAGAACCUGACAGAUUCUAGGAUGACGACACUCCAUGUGACCAAAAAUUGGAUACAUGUAAACCAUGCGGCGACCCACAGUGGCGACUCCAUCAAUCGCUGGCCCCUUCCACAUGAAUUCCUAUUUGUCUCUUUUCUCUCCGCUGUGUCUUCAAGCCUCUGGAAAGGAUAUUGCUUGGGGAACUGUUAUUAUCCACUAGGGUACUCGUGGCAAUAAUAGGUUGGGACUUGGAUCCAGGGCCGACCUAUACACAUGCUACUCUACGUGGCAUAAAUCUGUCUGCCUGUCAACAAAGCAAAAGGUCGAUAAAACUGAAAUGGAAACAUAAGACCUAAGGUGACAGAUCGUCGGUGACAGACUACGAAAACUUCCUCUGGUCGUAAGAAUCAAAAGAGAGUUAUUUCGAUGAUUUUCUUUUCUUUUUUUUUUCUUUUUAAAUCAAGUCGUAGGGCAUAGGACAUAGAGCGCGAGCCAUUGUUUAUUUUAGAAUAAGUCGGUGGGAGAGAGACGGUUUCGUUUCUCACUUGAACAUAGCGCAAUCUUCACGUGUUUUCUCUUCUGUCUUUUUUACUCCUUUCUGUUGCGUACUGUUUUUGCUCUCCUCGCUGUUUUCCUUUCUUUUUCUUCUCUUCUUUCUCUUUCCGUUUGUUUCUUUCCUUUCUCUUGAUAGAUAUAUAUAUAUAUAACUAUAUAUCUCAUUUUGUUGGAGACUGAACUGAGAUUGUUGUUAACUUAAGAUUGAUAAAAGAGAGAAGAGAAGUCUAAUUUGCUGAGAAAAUGGAAGGAAAGAAAGGAGUGGGGUCGUCCUCUUCUUCCUUUACUUCAGAGCUCUUUGGUUCAAAAGAGUCACCUUCAUCUUCCACAGGGAUUUUCGGGUCUAUAUUUGCUCCUCCAUCUAAGGUGUUAGGAAGGGAGUCUCUGCGUUCUGAUGUGAUGGCCAAAAGGCAGGAUUCUCAGAAUGAGCCCUGGAUCACAAAGGCUGGAGCCCCUGGUUUGUGCAUCAUCUUGUCAGGUAAUUCUUCCAAAGGACGUGAAGGUGAAAAUCACAGCAUAGACAAUAGAGACGCGAGUUCCAUUUAUCAGGAGCAAAAAGUACAACCAUGUCAUCUAAGUUCAUCCAUCUACUAUGGCGGCCAAGAUGUAUACUUUCAUCCCCAGAGUAGCCAGGGCUCUGGAUUAAACUCUGUGUACAAGAAGAAUGGUGGAGAAGAUGAUUCUGGGAGUGCAUCAAGAGGAAACUGGUGGCAAGGGUCUCUCUAUUACUAAGAGUUUACUUGCCAAUCAACAUACUUAUCAAGAUUCCCUCCAAGGAUGCCACACACCAUAAACAGUUAAACCAACCUUCAAUUGGGUGUGGCCCAGCUACCACAAUUAUCUUGCAAGUAUUAAUCCAUCCAACAUUGAUUCGGACAAAUGCUUUACAAUUGGUUGUUAAAGAAGUUAUGGUCGUUAAAGAGGACUUAAAGGGUGAGGACAAAUAUUCUGCAACCACAAUUUUGUCAAAGUUGAUUAGGAUUUUGAUGUUACAUUAUCAAUGGUUGUCUUCAUGAUUGUGGAAACAUUUUUUUUUAACUGUUAACCAUUGUCAAAUGAAUCAUACCUUUGGAAUCAGUUUUGUUGCUUCUCUAUUGGUUUUCUGAAUUGAUAUUUCAAAGGGUAAUGCAAUCAAAAGCUAGCAAAAAACAGAAACAUACAUGAUUUUCUUCUAUUGUUACUCAAGAUGCAUAUAAACAAGCUGAAAGCUUUUAUUCGUACAAAGGCAAGCUUAAGCUACGUGGUCACUACUAUGACAAGUGAACUCCAGCACUUUUAUCUCAAUGUGAGCCUCCAAAAUUCUGCCUUCAAGGAAGUGCAUAAGCUGCAAACAA
This is a non-coding RNA of Durio zibethinus, 2268 nucleotides long. The record is from RefSeq and is a predicted model, not a curated record. NCBI's taxonomy places the organism in Eukaryota, Viridiplantae, Streptophyta, Magnoliopsida, Malvales, Malvaceae.